Molecule: ribosomal RNA, 1337 nt
Filed under: uncultured bacterium
Lineage: Bacteria
Description: bacterial SSU rRNA
Rfam family: Bacterial small subunit ribosomal RNA
Source: RNAcentral
GACGAACGCUGGCGGCGUGCUUAACACAUGCAAGUCGAACGGAAAGGCCCUUCGGGGUACUCGAGUGGCGAACGGGUGAGUAGCAUGUGGGUGAUCUGCCCUGCACUUUGGGAUAAGCCUGGGAAACUGGGUCCAAUACCGAAUAGGACCACGCGCUUCAUGGUGUGUGGUGGAAAGCUUUUGCGGUGUGGGAUGGGCCCGCGGCCUAUCAGCUUGUUGGUGGGGUAAUGGCCUACCAAGGCGACGACGGGUAGCCGGCCUGAGAGGGUGACCGGCCACACUGGGACUGAGAUACGGCCCAGACUCCUACGGGAGGCAGCAGUGGGGAAUAUUGCACAAUGGGCGCAAGCCUGAUGCAGCGACGCCGCGUGAGGGAUGACGGCCUUCGGGUUGUAAACCUCUUUCAAUAGGGACGAAGCGCAAGUGACGGUACCUAUAGAAGAAGCACCGGCCAACUACGUGCCAGCAGCCGCGGUAAUACGUAGGGUGCGAGCGUUGUCCGGAAUUACUGGGCGUAAAGAGCUCGUAGGUGGUUUGUCGCGUUGUUCGUGAAAACUCACAGCUUAACUGUGGGCGUGCGGGCGAUACGGGCAGACUAGAGUACUGCAGGGGAGACUGGAAUUCCUGGUGUAGCGGUGGAAUGCGCAGAUAUCAGGAGGAACACCGGUGGCGAAGGCGGGUCUCUGGGCAGUAACUGACGCUGAGGAGCGAAAGCGUGGGGAGCGAACAGGAUUAGAUACCCUGGUAGUCCACGCCGUAAACGGUGGGUACUAGGUGUGGGUUCCUUCCUUGGGAUCCGUGCCGUAGCUAACGCAUUAAGUACCCCGCCUGGGGAGUACGGCCGCAAGGCUAAAACUCAAAGGAAUUGACGGGGGCCCGCACAAGCGGCGGAGCAUGUGGAUUAAUUCGAUGCAACGCGAAGAACCUUACCUGGGUUUGACAUGCACAGGACGCCGGCAGAGAUGUCGGUUCCCUUGUGGCCUGUGUGCAGGUGGUGCAUGGCUGUCGUCAGCUCGUGUCGUGAGAUGUUGGGUUAAGUCCCGCAACGAGCGCAACCCUUGUCCUAUGUUGCCAGCGGGUUAUGCCGGGGACUCGUAGGAGACUGCCGGGGUCAACUCGGAGGAAGGUGGGGAUGACGUCAAGUCAUCAUGCCCCUUAUGUCCAGGGCUUCACACAUGCUACAAUGGCCGGUACAAAGGGCUGCGAUGCCGUGAGGUGGAGCGAAUCCUUUCAAAGCCGGUCUCAGUUCGGAUCGGGGUCUGCAACUCGACCCCGUGAAGUCGGAGUCGCUAGUAAUCGCAGAUCAGCAACGCUGCGGUGAAUACGUUCCCGGGCCU